This 405-nucleotide ribosomal RNA is filed under the name bacterium enrichment culture clone ALO1_GLFRUDD03F9NGI. Its description in RNAcentral is "bacterial SSU rRNA". It matches the Rfam family "Bacterial small subunit ribosomal RNA", at positions 9 to 416 of the family's 1533-position model. The record is from RNAcentral.
GAGUUUGAUCCUGGCUCAGAUUGAACGCUGGCGGCAGGCCUAACACAUGCAAGUCGAGCGGAUGACGGGAGCUUGCUCCUUGAUUCAGCGGCGGACGGGUGAGUAAUGCCUAGGAAUCUGCCUGGUAGUGGGGGACAACGUUUCGAAAGGAACGCUAAUACCGCAUACGUCCUACGGGAGAAAGCAGGGGACCUUCGGGCCUUGCGCUAUCAGAUGAGCCUAGGUCGGAUUAGCUAGUUGGUGGGGUAAUGGCUCACCAAGGCGACGAUCCGUAACUGGUCUGAGAGGAUGAUCUGCCACACUGGAACUGAGACACGGUCCAGACUCCUACGGGAGGCAGCAGUGGGGAAUAUUGGACAAUGGGCGAAAGCCUGAUCCAGCCAUGCCGCGUGAGUGAAGAAGGCC